This 253-nucleotide ribosomal RNA is filed under the name uncultured bacterium. Its description in RNAcentral is "partial 16S ribosomal RNA". It matches the Rfam family "Bacterial small subunit ribosomal RNA", at positions 524 to 776 of the family's 1533-position model. The record is from RNAcentral.
UACGAAGGGGGCUAGCGUUGCUCGGAAUUACUGGGCGUAAAGCGCACGUAGGCGGCCUGCUAAGUCGGGUGUGAAAGCCCUGGGCUCAACCCAGGAAGUGCACUCGAAACUGGUAGGCUUGAAUAUGGAAGAGGGUCGCGGAAUUCCCGGUGUAGAGGUGAAAUUCGUAGAUAUCGGGAGGAACACCAGUGGCGAAGGCGGCGACCUGGGCCAAUAUUGACGCUGAGGUGCGAAAGCGUGGGGAGCAAACAGG